UACGAAGGGGGCUAGCGUUGUUCGGAAUUACUGGGCGUAAAGCGCGCGCAGGCGGUUCUUCAAGUCAGUUGUGAAAGCCCGGAGCUCAACUCCGGAACUGCCAUUGAAACUGUGGAACUUGAGGAUGAGAGAGGUGAGUGGAAUUCCCAGUGUAGAGGUGAAAUUCGUAGAUAUUGGGAAGAACACCAGUGGCGAAAGCGGCUCACUGGGCCAUUACUGACGCUGAGGCACGAAAGCUAGGGGAGCAAACAGG
Molecule: ribosomal RNA, 253 nt
Filed under: uncultured bacterium
Lineage: Bacteria
Description: partial 16S ribosomal RNA
Rfam family: Bacterial small subunit ribosomal RNA
Source: RNAcentral